UACAGAGACUGCAAGCGUUAUUCGGAUUCACUGGGCGUAAAGGGUGCGCAGGCGGCCGAGUGUGUGAGGCGUGAAAGCCCGGGGCUUAACCCCGGAAUUGCACCUCAAACUACACGGCUAGAGCAUUGGAGAGGGUAGCAGAAUUCAUGGUGUAGCAGUGAAAUGCGUAGAUAUCAUGAGGAAUACCAGAGGCGAAGGCGGCUACCUGGACAAUUGCUGACGCUCAGGCACGAAAGCGUGGGGAGCAAUCCGG
This 253-nucleotide ribosomal RNA is filed under the name uncultured bacterium. Its description in RNAcentral is "partial 16S ribosomal RNA". It matches the Rfam family "Bacterial small subunit ribosomal RNA", at positions 524 to 776 of the family's 1533-position model. The record is from RNAcentral.